Molecule: non-coding RNA, 30 nt
Filed under: Mus musculus (house mouse)
Lineage: Eukaryota; Metazoa; Chordata; Mammalia; Rodentia; Muridae
Source: RNAcentral
UAGUCAGACAAUGUGUCCCACGAUGUCAGG